CCUACGGGAGGCAGCAGUGGGGAAUAUUGCACAAUGGGGGAAACCCUGAUGCAGCGACGCCGCGUGAGUGAAGAAGUAUUUCGGUAUGUAAAGCUCUAUCAGCAGGGAAGAUAAUGACGGUACCUGAGUAAGAAGCCCCGGCUAACUACGUGCCAGCAGCCGCGGUAAUACGUAGGGGGCAAGCGUUAUCCGGAUUUACUGGGUGUAAAGGGAGCGUAGACGGCAUGGCAAGUCUGAAGUGAAAGCCGGGGGCUCAACCGCGGGACUGGUUUGGAAACUGUUAAGCUGGAGUGCAGGAGAGGUAAGUGGAAGUCCUAGUGUAGCGGUGAAAUGCGGAGAUAUUAGGAGGAACACCAGUGGCGAAGGCGGCUUACUGGACUGUAACUGACGUUGAGGCUCGAAAGCGUGGGGAGCAAACAGGAUUAGAUACCCGAGUAGUC
Molecule: ribosomal RNA, 440 nt
Filed under: uncultured bacterium
Lineage: Bacteria
Description: partial 16S ribosomal RNA
Rfam family: Bacterial small subunit ribosomal RNA
Source: RNAcentral